UGGGGAAUAUUGCACAAUGGGCGCAAGCCUGAUGCAGCCAUGCCGCGUGUGUGAAGAAGGCCUUCGGGUUGUAAAGUACUUUCAGUCGGGAGGAAGGUGGUAAGGUUAAUAACCUUAUCAAUUGACGUUACCGACAGAAGAAGCACCGGCUAACUCCGUGCCAGCAGCCGCGGUAAUACGGAGGGUGCAAGCGUUAAUCGGAAUUACUGGGCGUAAAGCGCACGCAGGCGGUUGAUUGAGUCAGAUGUGAAAUCCCCGGGCUUAACCCGGGAAUUGCAUCUGAUACUGGUCAGCUAGAGUCUUGUAGAGGGGGGUAGAAUUCCAUGUGUAGCGGUGAAAUGCGUAGAGAUGUGGAGGAACACCGGUGGCGAAGGCGGCCCCCUGGACAAAGACUGACGCUCAGGUGCGAAAGCGUGGGGAGCAAACAGG
RNAcentral lists this ribosomal RNA (429 nucleotides) under Chloroflexota bacterium. Its description in RNAcentral is "Chloroflexi bacterium partial 16S ribosomal RNA". It matches the Rfam family "Bacterial small subunit ribosomal RNA", at positions 355 to 776 of the family's 1533-position model. The record is from RNAcentral. Lineage: Bacteria; Bacillati; Chloroflexota.